Molecule: small RNA, 117 nt
Filed under: Cercocebus atys (sooty mangabey)
Lineage: Eukaryota; Metazoa; Chordata; Mammalia; Primates; Cercopithecidae
Also listed under: 1 other name
Description: Metazoan signal recognition particle RNA
Source: Rfam by way of RNAcentral
GCCGGGUGUGGUGGCUCACGCCUGUAAUCCCAGCACUUUGGGAGGCUGAGGCGGGUGGAUCACCUGAGGUCAGGAGUUCGAGGCCAGCCUGGCCAACAUGGUGAAACCCCAUCUCUU